This is a long non-coding RNA of Phyllopteryx taeniolatus (common seadragon), 3948 nucleotides long. RefSeq lists it as uncharacterized. The transcript is spliced from 4 exons. NCBI's taxonomy places the organism in Eukaryota, Metazoa, Chordata, Actinopteri, Syngnathiformes, Syngnathidae. The record is from RefSeq and is a predicted model, not a curated record.
UUCACCAGGCUGAAGAUUUUAAUGCUACUAAAAGACUGCUCAGCUUCAUUGUGAUCACCAUAGUUAACCUAAUUAUAAGGAAGAGAGCCCUGUUACCAUUUGAUCAUGCACAUAUGCCUCCCUCAGAUCCAUUGAUUGUUAUUCAUACUACGCCCUCAAUUCUUUAUGCGUCCCCUUUUGCCUCAUCCACAAUAUCAUUCUCAACAAAUCCCUACCCCCACUCCUUCUGCUGCAUUUUUAUAUGCCCUUAAAGAGAGUAUUGCCAUGUGUGUCUGAAAGCGUUAGAAUUAUGCCACAACACAUUAAAAUGUGAACAGUCAUGCAGUUUAUGGCAAAGGAAUUGUUUCAGUAGCACUUCCCUCAAGAAGUAUUCGAACAGUGAGUCGACUUCCUUUCUUUUUACUGUAGACUGGAAUCAUUUUGGGUUGAGAUCAAAGAUAAAGAUGAGAAAUGAUCAACAUUUCAGCUUUUAUUUCCAGGAUCUGACAUGUUCAACUUAAGAUAGCACGUUUGUUUGAACUCAACCGUAUUUCACAUGAGCAAAAGUAGUAGAACAUUAGACCAACAGGUUUGUUUUGUUGCCCAGGUAUGUAUUAUUACAUUGAUUAUUCAAGCAAUGAAUAGCUGAGGGUCUAUGUUCAGUUUCAGGUUUGGUUUUUGCCUGUCAAGACUGCCAUUUAUAUUGGUCUGAAGUGUAACCAACAUGAAAAACAGAGAGAUUAUAAUAGGUAAAAAAAACAAGCAUUUGUGAAGCCGAGAAAAGAUGGAAAAUCAAUGUGAAUCAUUGCACAAACAUUUGCCAUAGCCAAUAGAACAUUAUGGAAUGUCCUGAAGAAGAAGUAAAAACUGUUGUGCUAAGUACGUUGAACAGGGAGACCACAGAAAUUUGCAACAGUUGACGACAUGAACACUGUGAGCACUCCAAAGAGGCAAACAAACUAUUAGUGACAUCAGAGCAACAACCCCCAGAGGGCAGGAGUGAAGGUACCGCAAGCUACUGUUGGGAAUAGUAGCAGAGGACUUGAUGACCAAAAGUACAGAACCGCCACCAGAAGAUGCAAACGACUUACUCGCAACACGAAUUAGAAGGCCCAGCUGGCAUUUGCGAAAAACUAUGGACAUGUGGCUCAAAAGUGAUGUGACAGUUUUAAAGACCACUUAGUCAAAGAUUAGGUUUUGCCAUAAAGAUGGAAAGGUUAAAGUUCGGAGAACGAAAGGGUCUGCUCAUAAUUCCAAACAUACUGGCUCAUUGUGAAACACAGUGGAAGUAAUGUCAUGCAUAGUUUACGCUUGAAUGGCUUCUCGGACGAGCUCACUAAUCUUUAAUGAUGAUGUAAUACAUGAUGUCAGCUGCAGAAUAAACUACAUAAACAUUUUGUCUGCAAAUUUAAAGAAUAAUGCAACCAAACUGAUUGGCAGAUCCUUCAUCAUGCAGAAUUGCUAAGUCGCGACACACUUUUAUUGAAGAACAAUAAAUAAAAUGCAUUGUUAAAAAAUAGCCUUUGAAAACAUAUGUAUGUCAUUUUUUCAAACAGAACUCCACACACUUUCAUGUUCAAAAUGCCUUUUAGGGCACCUGGUUAAGAAGCUGAGGAUGAACAAAUAAUUACAUUUCUGCUGCCUGCCUGUCAAAUGUUACUUUCCAAAUAAAAGGCAACUCUAACCUGGGAUGCAUGUGAAAUACAGUGGGUACGGAAAGUAUUCAGACCGCCUUAAAUCUUUCCCUCUUUGUUAUAUAGUAGCCAUUUGGUAAAAUCAUUUAAGUUCAUUUUUUUCCGCAUUAAUGUACACACGGCACCCCAUAUUGACAGAAAAAAAUAGAAUUGUUGAAACUUUUGCAAAUGUAUUAAAAAAGAAAAACUUAAAAAUCAUACAGCCGUAAGUAUUCAGACCUUUUGCUCAGUAUUUAAUAGAAGCUCGCUUUUGACCUAAUACAGCCAUGAGUCUUUUUGGGAAUGCCAAGUUUUUCACUCCUGGAUUUGGGCAUCCUUUGCCAUUCCUCCUUGCAGAUCCUCUCCAGUUCUGUCAGGUUGGAUCGUGAACGUUGGUGGACAGCCAUUUUCAGGUCUCUCCAGAGAUGCUCAAUUGGGUUUCAGUCAGGGCUCUGGCAGAAAUCUUUUUGUAACCUGAGUCAAAUCUGUACCUUGCCACAAUUCUGUCGCUGAGCUCUUCAUGCAGUUCCUUAGACCUCAUGAUUCUCAUUUGCUCUGACAUGCACUGUGAGCUGUAAGGUCUUAUACAGACAGAUGUGUGGCUUUCCUAAUCAAGUCCAAUCAGUAUAAUCAAACACAGCUGGACUCCAAUGAACCUACUAAAGGAUGAUCAGAAGAAAUUGACAGCACCCAAGUUAAAUAUAUGAGCAUCACAGCAAAGGGUCUGAAUACUGAUGGCUAUGUGAUAUUUCAGUUUUUCUUUUUUAACUCAUUCCCUGCCAAUGCCGUCUAAAGACGUCAAUGGCGUUUUUUAACGGGGGAUGGGUGGGGGAGAGUCUUGUGCAGUUUAUGUGUGAUUGUCAAGCCUCUGGAUAACUGCAAUGAGGAUUGGCACCCUGUAGAGGGCAACAAUGCCUUCACCUGAAUGUCCCUCGCUCAGAGGAAGAAGAGGAAGAAGAAGGAGGAGGCGGGCCGGCGAGGUACAAGAGACAAUGAGAAAAGACAAACAUAAUGGUGGAAAAGAGAGAAGACAACAUGAAAAAAAUCUAAAAAAAAAAAAAAAAAAAAGCUUUCGGUACAAGAAAUUUAUUGCGCCAAGGCAAGAAUAAUAUUCCUGCGACCGACAGGAAUGACACCUUAGAUCAUACGGGGAAUAAACGAUGGUGCGCCAAGUCAGAAUGACGCUCCGAGCGAUUGCUUUGUUCCAAAGCUAUCGCUCAAAAUGCCGGCCCAUACAUAUGGCGAGAUCCUCCCAGCCGCUUGCCAGCUGAUUGCCUCUCGACCAAGAUUUGAGUAAAUGGGAUCUGGAAUCGUGAUGAGUGAACUCCGUCUGGAUACCCAGCCGAACUUCAUUACGAGGAUCCUUCGACGAAGUCCGACGAAGUCGAAGGAAUUCAACACCUGCGAGUCGAGCGUCUUUUAGGAUUGCGACAAAGAAAAGUUAUCCAUCCAGCAGACGUUCCCAUUUCCCAUUCCAGUACGCAGUGCAAAAAAAAAGGUUGUACUUCAAGCAAAAGUAGUGACUGGUUUCAAAGAGAAUGACAACCACAAAAGAUCCUGUUCACUGCCAACAGAAUAAUAAUAUCCAUAUGUGGAUCAAACUGCUAGAUUUUAUGUGCAAGGUAAUAAAAACCUGGAGUAUUGAGCAAACGGUAGAGGACGAGAAUUUGGAGGGGAAAAAGUACAAGUGUGGGAACCCCAUUUGUUCAUGCAUUUCUGUCUAAUGUAAAUUCUGUACAUAGUUAUACUUGUAAAUAAAUAAUUUUUCUGUCAAAAGUACUUUCUCAGUGUUGCUUUAUGUUCAGAUGUUGAGAUUUUCAUGAAAGAAAACAAAUAUUGGUGUCAAAGUCAUGGUUCUGCUUGAUAACAGAUAACUAGCAACCCUUUAUUGCUCAGUGACGUUUUUUGUCAAUGUCUUUAUGUCUCCAAAGUGUUCUCUGUCAAUUGACUGUCUGUUGUCGUACUAGAGCGGCUCCAACUACCGGAGACAAAUUCCUUGGGUGUUUUUUGGACAUGGCAAAUAAAGAUGAUUCUGAUUCUGAUGUGUCUGCUUUCACAAAAAGGCUGUUUUUGCCUUUUUUUUCUUCCAGAAACAGAUUUGGCUGAAAGUAGCCUAUAUGUGAUUGCUGAUUAGAAGAAGAAUAAUCACCUUUUUUAUUGUCAUGAACAUGCAUGCAUGCACACGAAAUUUGAAGUGACAAAUUUAAGGGAGUCUGAAUACUUUCCAUACCCACUGUAUGUUACUAUACAAGGGGUCCUUGGUGUCCAAUAGAGUUCUUCCCAUACGGCACCCAUG